ACGGCCGUACCAUGCUGAAUAUACCGGUUCUCGUUAGAUCACCGAAGUCAAGCAUCAUUGGGCGCGGUCAGUAUUGACCACCUGGGAACACCGCGUACCGUU
This 102-nucleotide ribosomal RNA is filed under the name Caerostris darwini. The record is from RNAcentral. Lineage: Eukaryota; Metazoa; Arthropoda; Arachnida; Araneae; Araneidae.